AUUGAACGCUGGCGGCAGGCCUAACACAUGCAAGUCGAGCGGAUGAAGGGAGCUUGCUCCUGGAUUCAGCGGCGGACGGGUGAGUAAUGCCUAGGAAUCUGCCUGGUAGUGGGGGAUAACGUCCGGAAACGGGCGCUAAUACCGCAUACGUCCUGAGGGAGAAAGUGGGGGAUCUUCGGACCUCACGCUAUCAGAUGAGCCUAGGUCGGAUUAGCUAGUUGGUGGGGUAAAGGCCUACCAAGGCGACGAUCCGUAACUGGUCUGAGAGGAUGAUCAGUCACACUGGAGCUGAGACACGGUCCAGACUCCUACGGGAGGCAGCAGUGGGGAAUAUUGGACAAUGGGCGAAAGCCUGAUCCAGCAAUGCCGCGUGUGUGAAGAAGGUCUUCGGAUUGUAAAGCACUUUAAGUUGGGAGGAAGGGCAGUAAGUUAAUACCUUGCUGUUUUGACGUUACCAACAGAAUAAGCACCGGCUAACUUCGUG
RNAcentral lists this ribosomal RNA (484 nucleotides) under uncultured bacterium. RNAcentral describes it as "partial 16S ribosomal RNA". It matches the Rfam family "Bacterial small subunit ribosomal RNA", at positions 30 to 507 of the family's 1533-position model. The record is from RNAcentral.